This 253-nucleotide ribosomal RNA is filed under the name uncultured bacterium. RNAcentral's name for it is "partial 16S ribosomal RNA". It matches the Rfam family "Bacterial small subunit ribosomal RNA", at positions 524 to 776 of the family's 1533-position model. The record is from RNAcentral.
UACAGAGGGUGCAAGCGUUGUCCGGAUUUAUUGGGCGUAAAGAGCUCGUAGGCGACUUGUUGCGUCGACCGUGAAAACCCGGGGCUCAACUUCGGGCUUGCGGUCGAUACGGGCGGGCUAGAGUUCGGUAGGGGAGACUGGAAUUCCUGGUGUAGCGGUGAAAUGCGCAGAUAUCAGGAGGAACACCGGUGGCGAAGGCGGGUCUCUGGGCCGAUACUGACGCUGAGGAGCGAAAGCGUGGGGAGCGAACAGG